This 357-nucleotide ribosomal RNA is filed under the name Eukaryota sp. Its description in RNAcentral is "SSU rRNA". It matches the Rfam family "Eukaryotic small subunit ribosomal RNA", at positions 1325 to 1699 of the family's 1831-position model. The record is from RNAcentral.
GCGUUAACGAACGAGACCUUGACCUGCUAAAUAGACGGGUUGACAUUUUGUUGGCCCCUUAUGUCUUCUUAGAGGGACAAUCGAACGUCUAGUUGAUGGAGGCAAAAGGCAAUAACAGGUCUGUGAUGCCCUUAGAUGUUCCGGGCUGCACGCGCGCUACACUGACAGAGACAGCGAGUAUCACCCUUGUCCGAAAUGACCGGGUAAACUUGUGAAACUCUGUCGUGCUGGGGAUGGAGCUUUGUAAUUUUUGCUCUUCAACGAGGAAUUCCUAGUAAGCGCAAGUCAUCAGCUUGCGUUGACUACGUCCCUGCCCUUUGUACACACCGCCCGUCGCUAAUACCGAUUGAAUGGCUG